GGCGUAUUUUGCCCAGGCGGAGCUCGACCGCCCGUCGAAGCGAUGAUCGCGUUCAUCGAUGACCACCGCAACGUCCAUGGGGUCGAGCCGAUCUGCCACCUGCUGCCGAUCGCCCCG
Molecule: regulatory RNA element, 117 nt
Rfam family: ALIL pseudoknot
Source: Rfam